UGACCAGAAGUUCGACAAAUAUUUCGUUUGCAUCUAUUACGAAGGUAUAAUAUGCCUCCAAGCCACACGCGAAAUAUUUUGGCUGUGCGCGGAGGCAAAGUUUGCCAAACAGGGAGCUGAAAACCGGCUUCGCUUUUCCCCCUCAACUCGCGCAAUCGGGGCCGAAAUCUAGCCUCUUUGCAGUGGACAUCCGCCAAUUUCCGUGUGCGUGACGAAGUCACGAGGGCCACGUUUCAUUGGGCGCCCGGACCGGAAGUUCUGUUGUUAGUGAGUCUGUGAGAGCGCCGGCAUCCGUCCGGAAUGCCCGAUCGGGCAAUAUGGACGUCGAAGGCAGAAAUGCGGAGACUUCGAGCCCGGAACUUCUUUCUGACCUUUCUGCGAUCGAGACAUCGAGAAGAAAAUUCUGCGUGCUGAACAGCUCGGUAGGCUUUCGAAACGUCGCCGAUGCCGCGAAUGCGAGACGAAGUUAGAGCUCUACGAACAUCAGUUACAGAUGAAGCAAACAGCAUGAGUCGCCUGUCUUCAGGUAAGCGAUGAGCUUUUUAACGCACACUGUGAUCGAACAUGUAAACGUUCGCAGAAAUUUCGUGUUCUGAUAUCUAAUGCGCACUUGCUGUUCAUGGUGCCGGUGUGGCUGGUGUGUCAUAAUGCCGAAGGAGAUCGAAUGCUUGUGCUGCAAGGAGCUCGAAAACACUGCCGAAUGACUGCAGUAUGAGUGCAUUACAACCCACAAAGAUUUCCAACUUCUAUUCUUCAAUAUGCCUGUCCUGAAGGUCGCAUAUUGAACUCCGUGGGCACGCGAACCUAUGAGCGACUGUAUUCACAAACGAUGCAGAUACACUGCGUAUCGCCAGUUUGCAAGGUGAGUAUGGCACAAGCUUGGAAAAAACAAGAUCAUGGUCAUCCCAGCCUGUGCAGUGAAGAGGGUCUGGCAAGCCUUUCCCACAGAAAAUGCCACAGGCUUCAAGUACCCAGGAUCCUAACUGGGGGUACCUCUUCGCACAGCUCGUCUAUCACAUUUAAAAUAAUUCAGCAUCUGUAUUUAGGAUGAUCUAUAGCUCUCAGGAUGAUGCAUGGUUCAUGAGUUCAACAUGUUGUGUUGAAACACAACACUAGUCCUUUUUAAUGAGUCUUGCGGAAUGAUAGAUGAGCACUCCUUUCGUGACAUUGUGUACCAUUGCUACAGUGAACAAUUUCUUGAGCAAGACUGAUGAACGAACAAAAAAUAGAGUCUUGUCUUCCAAAUAUGUAUGUUCCUUGUAACUUCCGUAUUUGUUAAGUGACCCAUGUUGAUGUCCCCCCUCAUGUAAUGCCUGCAAUGGCCUUUGAGAUAUAUUCAUAAAUAAAUAAAUAUCAAAACCGAAAAAA
Long non-coding RNA from Ornithodoros turicata, 1368 nucleotides. RefSeq lists it as uncharacterized. NCBI's taxonomy places the organism in Eukaryota, Metazoa, Arthropoda, Arachnida, Ixodida, Argasidae. The transcript is spliced from 2 exons. The record is from RefSeq and is a predicted model, not a curated record.